Molecule: ribosomal RNA, 522 nt
Filed under: Rhode aspinifera
Lineage: Eukaryota; Metazoa; Arthropoda; Arachnida; Araneae; Dysderidae
Description: partial 16S ribosomal RNA
Rfam family: Bacterial large subunit ribosomal RNA
Source: RNAcentral
CUAAAUAGCCGCAGUUACUCUGUGCUAAGGUAGCAUAAUCACUUGCCUUCUAAUUAAAGGAUAGCAUAAAAGAAUUCACGAAUUUGUAAUUGUAUCAUUAAUAAACAAUUAAACUAUACUAAAAGUAAAAAUACUUUUUUAGCACAAAAAGACGAUAAGACCCUAUGAACUUAACUUCAGUUAAACUAGGGUGGUAAAUAAAAAAAUCUUAACAACACAUAUACAAAAAAAAUAAAAAUCAACAAGUUACCAUAGGGAUAACAGAAUAAUUUAAUUUUACAGCUCUUAUCAAAAAUUAAGAUUAUUACCUCGAUGUUGAAUUAAAAAAUCUAGUAUAAGCAAAAAUAUACAAAGACAGUCUGUUCGACUAUUAAAAUUUUACAUGAUUUGAGUUCAGACCGGUGCAAGCCAGGUCGGUUUCUAUCUUUUUUUAACAUUUUAUAGUACGAAAGGACCAAAAAUGAUUAUAUAAUUCAAUUUUAACAAAUUAUUGUACUAAAAUUAGAAUUUAGCUAACUACCC